GCAGGUUCUCGGGGCGGGGCGAAAUUCCCCACCGGCGGUAAGCGCGGUUUGUGCGCAAGCCCGCGAGCGCCCGGUUCGCAAGGACCGGGGUCAGCAGAUCCGGUGCAACUCCGGAGCCGACGGUUAGAGUCCGGAUGAAAGAGAACAGUC
RNAcentral lists this non-coding RNA (150 nucleotides) under Martelella endophytica. Its description in RNAcentral is "FMN sequence". It matches the Rfam family "FMN riboswitch aptamer (RFN element)". From Rfam's summary of the family: The RFN element is a highly conserved domain that is found frequently in the 5'-untranslated regions of prokaryotic mRNAs that encode for flavin mononucleotide (FMN) biosynthesis and transport proteins. This element is a metabolite-dependent riboswitch that directly binds FMN in the absence of proteins. Lineage: Bacteria; Pseudomonadati; Pseudomonadota; Alphaproteobacteria; Hyphomicrobiales; Aurantimonadaceae. The record is from Rfam by way of RNAcentral.